CCCUUGUGGAGGAGGACGCCGAAGGUGGGGCUAAUGACUGGGGUGAAGUCGUAACAAGGUAGCCGUACCGGAAGGUGCGGCUGGAUCACCUCCUAACAGGGAGACAACAAAAUGUUUAAUAUUAUUAUUUUGUCACCUUAGGUCGAUCGGUAUCUCACGUUCUUAAAUUUAUUAAGAAUUUCAUUUCCUAAGUUUUUCUAGGUCACACCCAUUAUUUUUCCUGGGCCAUUAGCUCAGGUGGUUAGAGCGCACCCCUGAUAAGGGUGAGGUCCCUGGUUCAAGUCCAGGAUGGCCCAUAUCUCUAUGUUGGGGGUAUAGCUCAGUUGGUAGAGCGCCUGCUUUGCAAGCAGGAUGUCAGCGGUUCGAGUCCGCUUACCUCCACUGAUUACCACCUCUUCCAUAAUAUUUAGAAAGGAAAUGUAUUGAGUUGUGAUCAAAUUCUGAACGAAUCUAGCUUCCUAAUGAAUUCAUUAAGAUGCUGGACUCAUUGAAUUAAUUUCAUUGUUUUCAGAGAACCUUGACAACUGCAUAGAUUAUUUAAAAAACAAUAAGCAUCUUUAAUGAUGCAGAUUUAUUAUUUGUGCGAAUGCAUUAAUAACAAUUCUAUUAAGCUGAUGCUUCAAUUUUGAAGUUAUUGGUCAAGCUACAAAGGGCUCAUGGAGGAUACCUAGGCACACAGAGGCGA
Molecule: unclassified non-coding RNA, 685 nt
Filed under: uncultured Prochlorococcus sp.
Lineage: Bacteria; Bacillati; Cyanobacteriota; Cyanophyceae; Synechococcales; Prochlorococcaceae
Description: partial may contain 16S ribosomal RNA, 16S-23S ribosomal RNA intergenic spacer, and 23S ribosomal RNA
Rfam family: Bacterial small subunit ribosomal RNA (bases 1-96)
Source: RNAcentral